RNAcentral lists this ribosomal RNA (492 nucleotides) under uncultured bacterium. RNAcentral describes it as "partial 16S ribosomal RNA". It matches the Rfam family "Bacterial small subunit ribosomal RNA", at positions 29 to 507 of the family's 1533-position model. The record is from RNAcentral.
AGUGAACGCUGGCGGUAGGCCUAACACAUGCAAGUCGAACGGCAGCACAGUAAGAGCUUGCUCUUACGGGUGGCGAGUGGCGGACGGGUGAGGAAUACAUCGGAAUCUACUUUUUCGUGGGGGAUAACGUAGGGAAACUUACGCUAAUACCGCAUACGACCUACGGGUGAAAGCAGGGGAUCUUCGGACCUUGCGCGAUUGAAUGAGCCGAUGUCGGAUUAGCUAGUUGGCGGGGUACAGGCCCACCAAGGCGACGAUCCGUAGCUGGUCUGAGAGGAUGAUCAGCCACACGGGAACUGAGACACGGUCCAGACUCCUACGGGAGGCAGCAGUGGGGAAUAUUGGACAAUGGGCGCAAGCCUGAUCCAGCCAUACCGCGUGGGUGAAGAAGGCCUUCGGGUUGUAAAGCCCUUUUGUUGGGAAAGAAAAGCAGCAGGUUAAUACCCCGCUGUUCUGACGGUACCCAAAGAAUAAGCACCGGCUAACUUCGUG